This 460-nucleotide ribosomal RNA is filed under the name uncultured bacterium. Its description in RNAcentral is "partial 16S ribosomal RNA". It matches the Rfam family "Bacterial small subunit ribosomal RNA", at positions 338 to 795 of the family's 1533-position model. The record is from RNAcentral.
CCUACGGGAGGCUGCAGUGAGGAAUAUUGGUCAAUGGACGAGAGUCUGAACCAGCCAAGUAGCGUGAAGGAUGACUGCCCUAUGGGUUGUAAACUUCUUUUAUAUGGGAAUAAAAUGUUCCACGUGUGGGAUUUUGUAUGUACCAUAUGAAUAAGGAUCGGCUAACUCCGUGCCAGCAGCCGCGGUAAUACGGAGGAUCCGAGCGUUAUCCGGAUUUAUUGGGUUUAAAGGGAGCGUAGGUGGAUUGUUAAGUCAGUUGUGAAAGUUUGCGGCUCAACCGUAAAAUUGCAGUUGAAACUGGCAGUCUUGAGUACAGUAGAGGUGGGCGCAAUUCGUGGUGUAGCGGUGAAAUGCUUAGAUAUCACGAAGAACUCCGAUUGCGAAGGCAGUUCACUGGACUGCAACUGACACUGAGGCUCGAAAGUGUGGGUAUCAAACAGGAUUAGAUACCCUUGUAGUC